RNAcentral lists this ribosomal RNA (1111 nucleotides) under Trachyxiphium vagum. RNAcentral's name for it is "eukaryotic LSU rRNA". It matches the Rfam family "Eukaryotic large subunit ribosomal RNA", at positions 47 to 1152 of the family's 3401-position model. Lineage: Eukaryota; Viridiplantae; Streptophyta; Bryopsida; Hookeriales; Callicostaceae. The record is from RNAcentral.
UAAGCGGAGGAGAAGAAACUAACCAGGAUUUCCCUAGUAACGGCGAGCGAACCGGAAAGAGCCCAGCUUGAAAAUCGUGGUGCCUCGCACCUCGAGUUGUAGUCUGGAGAAGGUCCCUCUGCGACGCGCCGGACCCAAGUUCCCUGGAAAGGGACGUCAGAGAGGGUGAGAACCCCGUUCGUGUCCGAACCGCGUCGCUCCACGAGGACCUGUCUGCGAGUCGGGCUGUUUGGGAAUGCAGCCCUAAGCGGGUGGUAAAUUCCAUCCAAGGCUAAAUACUGGCAAGAGACCGAUAGCGAACAAGUACCGCGAGGGAAAGAUGAAAAGGACUUUGAAAAGAGAGUUAAAAAGUGCUUGAAAUUGCUGGGAGGGAAGCGAAUGGAAGCUGCGGGUGCGCCCCGGUUGGAUGUGGAACGGCUUCGGCUGGUCCGCCGCUCAACGCGGGGCGCUGGUCAGCGUGGGCCGUCGCGCCGGGACAAGAGCGGGGAUUCGCUUCCCGCCUAUGCCGGUGCGGUGGCCGAGGAACGAAGCGUGCGCCUCUUUUGGCGUGGGUUCGCCCAACUGCACGCUCGGGACGCUGGCGUAUUGAGCUCUUCAUCCGACCCGUCUUGAAACACGGACCAAGGAGUCUAACAUGUAUGCGAGCCGGUGGGCGGCAAACCCAUUGAGGCGCAAGUAACCUGACAGGUGGGACCCCGACCGCGAGGGAGGGAGCACCAUCGACCGACCGUGAUCUUCUGUGAAAGGUUUGAGUGUGAGCAUACCUGUUGGGACCCGAAAGAUGGUGAACUAUGCCUGAGCAGGGCGAAGCCAGAGGAAACUCUGGUGGAGGCUCGUAGCGAUACUGACGUGCAAAUCGUUCGUCAGACUUGGGUAUAGGGGCGAAAGACUAAUCGAACCAUCUAGUAGCUGGUUCCCUCCGAAGUUUCCCUCAGGAUAGCUGGAGCUCGUGUAAAAGUUUUAUCAGGUAAAGCGAAUGAUUAGAGGCAUCGGGGGUGUAACACCCUCGACCUAUUCUCAAACUUUAAAUAGGUAAGCCGCCGGGGUUGCUUGGUUGAACCCUGGCACAGAAUGAGAGCUCCAAGUGGGCCAUUUUUGGUAAGCAGAACUG